GACGCCGCGUGUGUGACGAAGGUCUUCGGAUCGUAAAGCACUGUCAGGCGGGAAGAAGACAUGCGUAUAAAUUACGCGUGUGUUGACGGUACCGCCGAAGGAAGCACCGGCUAACUCCGUGCCAGCAACGGCGGUGACUGAGCGGGCUGGCAAGGCGCAUA
This 161-nucleotide ribosomal RNA is filed under the name uncultured bacterium. RNAcentral describes it as "partial 16S ribosomal RNA". It matches the Rfam family "Bacterial small subunit ribosomal RNA", at positions 393 to 539 of the family's 1533-position model. The record is from RNAcentral.